This 305-nucleotide ribosomal RNA is filed under the name uncultured bacterium. Its description in RNAcentral is "partial 16S ribosomal RNA". It matches the Rfam family "Bacterial small subunit ribosomal RNA", at positions 508 to 809 of the family's 1533-position model. The record is from RNAcentral.
ACAGCAGUCGCCGCGGGAAUACAGAGGGUGCAAGCGUUAAUCGGAAUUACUGGGCGUAAAGCGCGCGUAGGUGGUUUGUUAAGUUGGAUGUGAAAUCCCCGGGCUCAACCUGGGAACUGCAUCCAAAACUGGCAGGCUAGAGUAGGGCAGAGGGUGGUGGAAUUUCCUGUGUAGCGGUGAAAUGCGUAGAUAUAGGAAGGAACACCAGUGGCGAAGGCGACCACCUGGGCUCAUACUGACACUGAGGUGCGAAAGCGUGGGGAGCAAACAGGAUUAGAUACCCCGGUAGUCCCUGUCUCUUAUAA